This 536-nucleotide ribosomal RNA is filed under the name Coniochaeta polymorpha. RNAcentral describes it as "LSU rRNA". It matches the Rfam family "Eukaryotic large subunit ribosomal RNA", at positions 76 to 639 of the family's 3401-position model. The record is from RNAcentral. Lineage: Eukaryota; Fungi; Ascomycota; Sordariomycetes; Coniochaetales; Coniochaetaceae.
UGCCCCAGUAACGGCGAGUGAAGCGGCAACAGCUCAAAUUUGAAAUCUGGCUUCGGCCCGAGUUGUAAUUUGUAGAGGAUGCUUUUGGUGAGGUGCCUUCUGAGUUCCCUGGAACGGGACGCCAGAGAGGGUGAGAGCCCCGUAUAGUCGGCCACCGAUCCUUUGUAAAGCUCCUUCGACGAGUCGAGUAGUUUGGGAAUGCUGCUCAAAAUGGGAGGUAUAUCUCUUCUAAAGCUAAAUAUUGGCCAGAGACCGAUAGCGCACAAGUAGAGUGAUCGAAAGAUGAAAAGCACUUUGAAAAGAGGGUUAAAUAGUACGUGAAAUUGUUGAAAGGGAAGCGCUUGUGACCAGACUUGUGCCGGGCUGAUCAUCCAGUGUUCUCACUGGUGCACUCUGCCCGGCUCAGGCCAGCGUCGGUUCUCGCAGGUGGACAAAAGCUUCGGGAACGUGGCCCCUCCGGGGGUGUUAUAGCCCGUUGCUCAAUACACUUGUGGGGACCGAGGUUCGCGCUCUGCAAGGACGCUGGCAUAAUGGUC